CCCCAGUAACGGCGAGUGAAGCGGCAACAGCUCAAAUUUGAAAUCUGGCCUCGUGCCCGAGUUGUAAUUUGUAGAGGAUGCUUUUGGCGACGCGCCUUCCGAGUUCCCUGGAACGGGACGCCAUAGAGGGUGAGAGCCCCGUCCGGUCGUGCGCCUAGCCUCUGUAAAGCUCCUUCGACGAGUCGAGUAGUUUGGGAAUGCUGCUCUAAAUGGGAGGUAUACGUCUUCUAAAGCUAAAUACCGGCCAGAGACCGAUAGCGCACAAGUAGAGUGAUCGAAAGAUGAAAAGCACUUUGAAAAGAGGGUUAAAUAGUACGUGAAAUUGCUGAAAGGGAAGCGCUUAUGACCAGACUUGGGCGCGGCGGAUCAUCCGGCGUUCUCGCCGGUGCACUCCACCGCCCCAGGCCAGCAUCAGUUCGCGCCGGGGGAUAAAGGCUUCGGGAAUGUGGCUCUCUCGGGAGUGUUAUAGCCCGCUGCGUAAUACCCUGGCGCGGACUGAGGUCCGCGCUCUGCAAGGAUGCUGGCGUAAUGGUCAUCAGUGACCCGUCUUGAAACACGGACCAAGGAGUCGUCUUCGUAUGCGAGUGUUCGGGUGUCAAACCCCUACGCGGAAUGAAAGUGAACGUAGGAGAGAGCUUCGGCGCAUCUCCGACCGAUCCUGAUGUUCUCGGAUGGAUUUGAGUAAGAGCAUACGGGGCCGGACCCGAAAGGAGGUGAACUAUGCCUGUGUAGGGUGAAGCCAGAGGAAAC
RNAcentral lists this ribosomal RNA (750 nucleotides) under Emericellopsis minima. Its description in RNAcentral is "LSU rRNA". It matches the Rfam family "Eukaryotic large subunit ribosomal RNA", at positions 78 to 862 of the family's 3401-position model. The record is from RNAcentral. Lineage: Eukaryota; Fungi; Ascomycota; Sordariomycetes; Hypocreales; Bionectriaceae.